CACGUAGGGAGCAAGCGUUGUCCGGAUUUAUUGGGCGUAAAGAGCUCGUAGGUGGUUCGGUAAGUCGGGUGUGAAAACUCUGGGCUCAACUCAGAGACGCCACCCGAUACUGCUGUGACUCGAGUCUGGUAGGGGAGUGUGGAAUUCCUAGUGUAGCGGUGAAAUGCGUAGAUAUCGUGAGGAAUACCAGAGGCGAAGGCGGCUACCUGGACAAUUGCUGACGCUCAGGCACGAAAGCGUGGGGAGCAAAAGGG
Molecule: ribosomal RNA, 254 nt
Filed under: uncultured bacterium
Lineage: Bacteria
Description: partial 16S ribosomal RNA
Rfam family: Bacterial small subunit ribosomal RNA
Source: RNAcentral